Molecule: ribosomal RNA, 437 nt
Filed under: uncultured bacterium
Lineage: Bacteria
Description: partial 16S ribosomal RNA
Rfam family: Bacterial small subunit ribosomal RNA
Source: RNAcentral
AGCGAACGCUGGCGGCAGGCUUAACACAUGCAAGUCGAGCGGGCAUCCUUGUGGUGUCAGCGGCAGACGGGUGAGUAACGCGUGGGAACGUGCCCUUCGGUUCGGAAUAACUCAGGGAAACUUGAGCUAAUACCGGAUACGUGCGAGAGCAGAAAGGUUUAUCUGCCGAAGGAUCGGCCCGCGUCUGAUUAGCUAGUUGGUGAGGUUACGGCUCACCAAGGCGACGAUCAGUAGCUGGUCUGAGAGGAUGAUCGGCCACACUGGGACUGAGACACGGCCCAGACUCCUACGGGAGGCAGCAGUGGGGGAUAUUGGACAAUGGGGGCAACCCUGAUCCAGCCAUGCCGCGUGAGUGAUGACGGCCUUAGGGUUGUAAAGCUCUUUUCUCCGGGACGAUAAUGACGGUACCGGAGGAAUAAGCCCCGGCUAACUUCGUG